This 1508-nucleotide ribosomal RNA is filed under the name gut metagenome. RNAcentral describes it as "bacterial SSU rRNA". It matches the Rfam family "Bacterial small subunit ribosomal RNA". The record is from RNAcentral.
AGAGUUUGAUCCUGGCUCAGGAUGAACGCUAGCUACAGGCUUAACACAUGCAAGUCGAGGGGCAGCAUGGUCUUAGCUUGCUAAGGCCGAUGGCGACCGGCGCACGGGUGAGUAACACGUAUCCAACCUGCCGUCUACUCUUGGACAGCCUUCUGAAAGGAAGAUUAAUACAAGAUGGCAUCAUGAGUCCGCAUGUUCACAUGAUUAAAGGUAUUCCGGUAGACGAUGGGGAUGCGUUCCAUUAGAUAGUAGGCGGGGUAACGGCCCACCUAGUCUUCGAUGGAUAGGGGUUCUGAGAGGAAGGUCCCCCACAUUGGAACUGAGACACGGUCCAAACUCCUACGGGAGGCAGCAGUGAGGAAUAUUGGUCAAUGGGCGAGAGCCUGAACCAGCCAAGUAGCGUGAAGGAUGACUGCCCUAUGGGUUGUAAACUUCUUUUAUAAAGGAAUAAAGUUGGGUAUGGAUACCCGUUUGCAUGUACUUUAUGAAUAAGGAUCGGCUAACUCCGUGCCAGCAGCCGCGGUAAUACGGAGGAUCCGAGCGUUAUCCGGAUUUAUUGGGUUUAAAGGGAGCGUAGAUGGAUGUUUAAGUCAGUUGUGAAAGUUUGCGGCUCAACCGUAAAAUUGCAGUUGAUACUGGAUAUCUUGAGUGCAGUUGAGGCAGGCGGAAUUCGUGGUGUAGCGGUGAAAUGCUUAGAUAUCACGAAGAACUCCGAUUGCGAAGGCAGCCUGCUAAGCUGCAACUGACAUUGAGGCUCGAAAGUGUGGGUAUCAAACAGGAUUAGAUACCCUGGUAGUCCACACGGUAAACGAUGAAUACUCGCUGUUUGCGAUAUACUGCAAGCGGCCAAGCGAAAGCGUUAAGUAUUCCACCUGGGGAGUACGCCGGCAACGGUGAAACUCAAAGGAAUUGACGGGGGCCCGCACAAGCGGAGGAACAUGUGGUUUAAUUCGAUGAUACGCGAGGAACCUUACCCGGGCUUAAAUUGCAGAUGAAUUACGGUGAAAGCCGUAAGCCGCAAGGCAUCUGUGAAGGUGCUGCAUGGUUGUCGUCAGCUCGUGCCGUGAGGUGUCGGCUUAAGUGCCAUAACGAGCGCAACCCUUGUUGUCAGUUACUAACAGGUUCCGCUGAGGACUCUGACAAGACUGCCAUCGUAAGAUGUGAGGAAGGUGGGGAUGACGUCAAAUCAGCACGGCCCUUACGUCCGGGGCUACACACGUGUUACAAUGGGGGGUACAGAGGGCCGCUACCACGCGAGUGGAUGCCAAUCCCCAAAACCUCUCUCAGUUCGGACUGGAGUCUGCAACCCGACUCCACGAAGCUGGAUUCGCUAGUAAUCGCGCAUCAGCCACGGCGCGGUGAAUACGUUCCCGGGCCUUGUACACACCGCCCGUCAAGCCAUGGGAGCCGGGGGUACCUGAAGUGCGUAACCGCGAGGAGCGCCCUAGGGUAAAACUGGUGACUGGGGCUAAGUCGUAACAAGGUAGCCGUACCGGAAGGUGCGGCUG